CCUACGGGAGGCAGCAGUGAGGAAUAUUGGUCAAUGGCCGUAAGGCUGAACCAGCCAAGUAGCGUGAGGGAAGACUGCCCUAUGGGUUGUAAACCUCUUUUAUGCGGGGACAAAGGUGUCCACGUGUGGAUGUUUGCAGGUACCGCAUGAAUAAGGCCCGGCUAAUUCCGUGCCAGCAGCCGCGGUAAUUCGGAAGGUCCGGGCGUUAUCCGGAUUUAUUUGGGUUAAAGGGAGCGUAGGCCGGUCUUUAAGCGUGCCGUGAAAUUUUGGGGCGCAACCAUGGGAGUGCGGCGCGAACUGGAGACCUUGAGUGCGCGGAAGGCAGGCGGAAUGCGUGGUGUAGCGGUGAAAUGCAUAGAUAUCACGAAGAACUCCGAUUGCGAAGGCAGCUUACUAACCUGCCACUGACAUUGAUGCUCGAAAGUGUGGGGAUCAAACAGGAUUAGAUACCCCGGUAGUC
Molecule: ribosomal RNA, 460 nt
Filed under: uncultured bacterium
Lineage: Bacteria
Description: partial 16S ribosomal RNA
Rfam family: Bacterial small subunit ribosomal RNA
Source: RNAcentral